CAGAAGGUAAUUUAAUUUAAAAUGUUAGCAUUGGAAGCUAGAUAUUAAGUGAUAUACUUAUCUUUUGA
This 68-nucleotide transfer RNA is filed under the name Chtenopteryx sicula. Its description in RNAcentral is "tRNA-Pro". The record is from RNAcentral. Lineage: Eukaryota; Metazoa; Mollusca; Cephalopoda; Oegopsida; Chtenopterygidae.